RNAcentral lists this ribosomal RNA (450 nucleotides) under uncultured Glomeromycotina. Its description in RNAcentral is "SSU rRNA". It matches the Rfam family "Eukaryotic small subunit ribosomal RNA", at positions 569 to 1024 of the family's 1831-position model. The record is from RNAcentral. Lineage: Eukaryota; Fungi; Glomeromycota.
AGCAGCCGCGGUAAUUCCAGCUCCAAUAGCGUAUAUUAAAGUUGUUGCAGUUAAAAAGCUCGUAGUUGAAUUUCGGGAUCAGUACGCUGGUCGUGCCUCCGGUAUGCACUGGUGUCACUGGUUCCUCCCUUCUGAAGAACCAUCAUGCUAUUAAUUUAGUGUGGUGGGAAAUCAGGACUGUUACUUUGAAAAAAUUAGAGUGUUUAAAGCAGGCUCACGCUUGAAUACAUUAGCAUGGAAUAAUGAAAUAGGACGUUGAUCCUAUUUUGUUGGUUUCUAGGAUUGACGUAAUGAUUAAUAGGGAUAGUUGGGGGCAUUAGUAUUCAAUUGUCAGAGGUGAAAUUCUUGGAUUUAUUGAAGACUAACUACUGCGAAAGCAUUUGCCAAGGAUGUUUUCAUUAAUCAAGAACGAAAGUUAGGGGAUCGAAGACGAUCAGAUACCGUCGUAGU